GGCCUUGUGGUCCAGAGGCAAGAUACCUGCUUUGGGUUUUUGUGGCAACUGCAGGUGACCUGGGUUCGAUUCCCAGCAAGGCCC
Non-coding RNA from Mycena sp. CBHHK59/15, 84 nucleotides. NCBI's taxonomy places the organism in Eukaryota, Fungi, Basidiomycota, Agaricomycetes, Agaricales, Mycenaceae. The record is from the annotation of a GenBank genome assembly.